Long non-coding RNA from Syngnathus acus (greater pipefish), 603 nucleotides. RefSeq lists it as uncharacterized. NCBI's taxonomy places the organism in Eukaryota, Metazoa, Chordata, Actinopteri, Syngnathiformes, Syngnathidae. The transcript is spliced from 2 exons. The record is from RefSeq and is a predicted model, not a curated record.
UUUGAUUGUCAAAAGGGAAGGUAUAUAGAUAGCCAGCUGGGAGUCAUAGUCUCUCCAGCGUGUCCUGGUUCUAGGGAGGUUUGCUGAUGGCAUCCUAAACAGAUGCUUCCGCUAGAAGCGGCUCUAUUCUGAUCCCCUCUCAGAUGGUCGAGAACUUCAUCUAUCCCUAAGGCCUGGCACACAAAGAUCAUCGGGACAUUUCUGUCCAGAUUUAGCGGCGUCGCAACCAAAACCAUCAAAGAACCAAUUUAAGAUUGUCCAAUAAGAUUACAGAUGAACCUUUUGUCAGAUGUGUGUUGAGCGUGGUUUUGUCCUGAUAAUACAGUCCAAAACAGGUAGGGGUCAACAAUCUUAAAUAUUGACUAAAUAUGGUCAAUUUUAUGACCAAAAAUCUUCGUGUGGGCAAAGCCAACUACCCUAUUUGGCUCCAAGCUAUUUGGCUCCAUGGACUGUGACAUAAACGUAAUGUAGGCAUUCAAGGAAGCGCCCUGACUGACGAACAUAGUAGUGGCAAUAAAUAAAACGUAUGGUAAAUAAAAAAAAAGCAUGCCCCUACCAAAAAUCUGGAUUUUUUUUUUGUAUAAAAAUGGGUUCUUCCAACAG